ACAAUGUCAAACCUCGUCAGUAAGAGGCACUGGUGGACACUGAAAGAGGAAGGGGCUUCUCUUGGGUUUCCGGAUUUGGUUUCCUCGUGUUCAUGUGCCCUUUACUGGACUGGCAUCCCGACAAGAGGCCGCCUGGCCUACCUUGUCUCCAGUUCUAGUGGCGAGGGUGGGCCGUGCGGCAGGCCUCGAUGUCCGGCACAUGUCUGAUGACGUUGACCAGAAGCUUCUCCAUCCUACUGAAUUAAAUGUCUGAGACCGUCAUGUGGUCAAGCUUUCGGCUAAUACACAACAAAGAACUGCAGGCCACGCACUGACACUGUGUAAUGAAAGGCUGAUGGAAACACAUUCUGGGAACUGCAGGAAGUCGAGGACAUGAAGGAAAAAGACAUUAAAGACUUUCUGUGUCAGA
Molecule: long non-coding RNA, 409 nt
Organism: Panthera uncia (snow leopard)
Lineage: Eukaryota; Metazoa; Chordata; Mammalia; Carnivora; Felidae
Exons: 3
Source: RefSeq, a predicted model, not a curated record